UACGAAGGGGGCUAGCGUUGCUCGGAAUCACUGGGCGUAAAGGGUGCGUAGGCGGGUCUUUAAGUCAGGGGUGAAAUCCUGGAGCUCAACUCCAGAACUGCCUUUGAUACUGAAGAUCUUGAGUUCGGGAGAGGUGAGUGGAACUGCGAGUGUAGAGGUGAAAUUCGUAGAUAUUCGCAAGAACACCGGUGGCGAAGGCGGCGACCUGGUCCGUGACUGACGCUGAGGCGCGAAAGCGUGGGGAGCAAACAGG
This 253-nucleotide ribosomal RNA is filed under the name uncultured bacterium. RNAcentral's name for it is "partial 16S ribosomal RNA". It matches the Rfam family "Bacterial small subunit ribosomal RNA", at positions 524 to 776 of the family's 1533-position model. The record is from RNAcentral.